AUAGUUGGAAGUGUUGCUGUGGAAGACCAGCCAGAUGUCAGUGCCGUGUUGUCAGCCUACAACCAACAAGGAGAUCCCACAAUGUAUGAAGAAUACUAUAGUGGACUGAAACACUUCAUUGAAUGUUCCCUGGACUGCCAUCGGGCAGAGUUGUCCCAACUUUUUUAUCCUCUGUUUGUGCACAUGUACUUGGAGCUAGUCUACAAUCAACAUGAGAAUGAAGCAAAGUCAUUCUUUGAGAAGUAUUUUUUGGUUUAUUAAAAGAACCAGAAAUUGAGGUACCUUUGGAUGACGAGGAUGAAGAGGGAGAAAAUGAAGAAGGAAAACCUAAAAAGAAGAAGCCUAAAAAAG
RNAcentral lists this long non-coding RNA (351 nucleotides) under Homo sapiens (human). RNAcentral's name for it is "HSALNT0167525". Lineage: Eukaryota; Metazoa; Chordata; Mammalia; Primates; Hominidae. The record is from RNAcentral.